Molecule: long non-coding RNA, 235 nt
Filed under: Elaeis guineensis (African oil palm)
Lineage: Eukaryota; Viridiplantae; Streptophyta; Magnoliopsida; Arecales; Arecaceae
Description: long non-coding RNA (EGUI_LNC025275)
Source: RNAcentral
CCGUAGAUUUAUUUGGGCCAUCGAACAUUACUCUUCACCAAAGCACAUCGUACCUUCUUAACUCCCGACUUAAUGGACCCUAACGAGGUGACUAUAUUCAGUGGUUUAAUUACUUGAGAGCACGUGUAUCACCUUGAUUAUUUAUAUACGAUCAAAAAAUUAAAAAAAUAUAUCUUCUAUGCGGCCCUUUUGAAUGAGGUCUUGUAUUACUGUAAGUAAUAUCUAUUAUGGUAUA